GUGGCACAUAGCCUGCCUAUUUCACAGGGGGACUCGGGUUGCUGAUACUGGAGAUUUCCAGAGCACACAGCUCACGGGACCCCAGUCUGCAUGCCAGAAAGCAUACAUUGGACAUUAAGACUUUCAAAGGAGAUGAUGGAAUUUUAUAUUUUCUUGCUGAUCCAUAUCACCCAUGAAAAUACAGAAGUGGUAGGGACUUCUGAUGUGUCAAGGAAGAAAGAAACGUUUUUUGGUCGGUUGACUGGUUUUUAAAGGACUCUCCAGAACUGUCGAUGUGGGAGGCAGAAACCUGCGGUGCCUGGGUGUGAGAGAGUGAGUAAGAGGGGGUCCCUUUAAUGCAAAGGACUCAGAAAUCCCCUCUGCAAAUUCCUUCUUCAUCCCUGGGUCUCAGAAAGUGCUGGAAGGUAAUUAGAUUUAAUGAGGCCGUUAUUGUUCUCAAAAUCCUCCCUGCCUUCCCCAGCUCCUCACUCUGGCUGCCCAGAUACCACUCUGGAUCUAGCGGUCCAUUUAGUGUACAUUUUUAAGGGAGAUUUUAAUGGCCAGCUUAUAGGACUGUCUAUUUUGAGGUUGCAUGGCUGGAAUCAAGUUGAAACCAUCUGCUUUUAAAUAAAGAGAAAGGACGACUAAGUAUAUUUAAAAUAUGUAAUUUAUAGCCUGCUGAGCCUUGAAGUGCCCUGUCUAUCCAGAGGCACAAAAUUUUUCACCAGCCCGGGAAGAAACGGGCCCCUGUUUGAGAGGAAGCCCUACGGGGUCUUCAAGUUUCAGACGUACGUGUCUCUGGAGUGCUGUUUCCUGUCUGUAAUGUAAGUUUGAAGCUCUUGGUGUGUUUUCUUGCACUCUGAAAUAAACACAGCACCUGGAUUUAAUCAGUGGGACGGUAACAGGAUCAGGGUCCCAGUUCCCGACGUCAGUCCCCCAUCCCCAGGGGAGGGCCAGGAGGUGGCGGCUCUAAGCCUGUUUGGGAGUUCGGGACCAUUCGCUACCCUGUGGACUUGUUAUGAAUGAGCAGCUCCGAGCCGACCUCGGCCCAUUGGUCUCUUCACAGAAUUCGAGGACUGCUCUAGAACCUUUAGUGACCUCAGAGAGAGGGGGCUCUGGUUUCCGGGCCUGUUGCUUUCGGCAUGCGACACACCAGAUUCAAGUUCCCCCUGGCCAGUGGAGGAUACUUUGUGAACCACAUUUGGACCUUAAAUCGAAAAAACACUCAGCAUCUUCUUUGGACUUAAAAAAUGCUGCAGGAAGAAUAUGUUUCCUUCCAAAUGAAGAUUUUUGCUUUUGGAUGCCUGUUCCUUUGUUAAGUUCCUUUAGUGAGGUCACAGACUCUGAUCUAAUAAAGGACUGGCCGCCUCACUGUGCUUGUGAGUGUGACCGUGGCAGAGGGGAGAAUGGGCCACCGAGUUCAGAAAGAUGGGGCGUGGUCCAGCCCCCCAGUGACACAGCAGCAAACUUAAUACCCAUCUUUGCUGGGAGGCCGAAACAAACGUUUUUCAAGAUUGGAAUGAGAGUUGUGGAGAAAACACAACCGUUUUCCUGUGCUGCCUUUCUCCCCCUCCUCAUUCUUCCUCAAUUUGUGUCCUUUUUUUUCCUAUGGAUAUAAACUAAAGAUGAACAUACCUGACAA
Mustela putorius furo (domestic ferret) is the source of this 1621-nucleotide long non-coding RNA. NCBI's taxonomy places the organism in Eukaryota, Metazoa, Chordata, Mammalia, Carnivora, Mustelidae. The record is from Ensembl.